AAGAUGGAUUCUUAAUAAAAUUAUGUACUUGCUUAAUGGCAUUGUGCGCAAAUAUUUGCAGAGAAAGAUCUGCCCCUCGUUGAAAACGCCGCUUGAUGAUUUAAACACACAGCUGGCAACAUUAAAUGUUACAGCCAAAGUAAGUGAAUAUG
Molecule: long non-coding RNA, 152 nt
Organism: Sinocyclocheilus anshuiensis
Lineage: Eukaryota; Metazoa; Chordata; Actinopteri; Cypriniformes; Cyprinidae
Exons: 3
Source: RefSeq, a predicted model, not a curated record